This 476-nucleotide ribosomal RNA is filed under the name uncultured organism. Its description in RNAcentral is "partial 16S ribosomal RNA". It matches the Rfam family "Bacterial small subunit ribosomal RNA", at positions 332 to 799 of the family's 1533-position model. The record is from RNAcentral.
UACACUCCUGCGGGAGGCAGCAGUGGGGAAUAUUGCACAAUGGGCGCCAGCCUGAUGCAGCCAUGCCGCGUGUAUGAAGAAGGCCUUCGGGUUGUAAAGUACUUUCAGCGGGGAGGAAGGCAAUACGGUUAAUAACCGUGUUGAUUGACGUUACCCGCAGAAGAAGCACCGGCUAACUCCGUGCCAGCAGCCGCGGUAAUACGGAGGGUGCAAGCGUUAAUCGGAAUUACUGGGCGUAAAGCGCACGCAGGCGGUCUGUCAAGUCGGAUGUGAAAUCCCCGGGCUCAACCUGGGAACUGCAUUCGAAACUGGCAGGCUUGAGUCUUGUAGAGGGGGGUAGAAUUCCAGGUGUAGCGGUGAAAUGCGUAGAGAUCUGGAGGAAUACCGGUGGCGAAGGCGGCCCCCUGGACAAAGACUGACGCUCAGGUGCGAAAGCGUGGGGAGCAAACAGGAUUAGAUACCCCUGUAGUCCCAUG